AAGUAUGAAGCGAUUAAUUGCAUUUAGUUUCGACCUAAUCUUAGAUAAACUUAUCCUUACUUU
This 63-nucleotide transfer RNA is filed under the name Mantispa japonica. Its description in RNAcentral is "tRNA-Arg". The record is from RNAcentral. Lineage: Eukaryota; Metazoa; Arthropoda; Insecta; Neuroptera; Mantispidae.